UUGUAGAUAAAAGGGACAUUUCAUGUGCAACAGAUGAGAUGACAAGAACAUUGUUUAUUUUAAAUCAGGUAUAAAUGUUCUUAAAGACUCGAGACAAAUUACUAGAGGUAAGGGGUGGAUAUUUUCUAUAUCUCCGAUUCAAUAAGAGACUCAAUCUAAUUGAUGAACUAUUUUAAAUCAGGUAUAUAUGUUCUUAAAGACUCGAGACAAAUUACUAGAGGUAAGGGGUGGAUAUAUUUCUAUAUCUCCAAUUCAAUAAGAGACUCGAUCUAAUUGAUGAACUAGGUAUACAACAACAUGAGCAAUAUCCUGCGGCGGUUGUAUCACCAGCCAAGUUGCAAAACUUCUGCUUCAGGUCCCAUUCUAUUGUUUCUAUGCAUCACAAUCUUUAGUUACCAAAAUGUGGAUGGGUGCCUUUGCACAAAUGCUACUUCUCAUCCAUUCCACACCGUUUUCUGCAGAUGAAUUUCGAUUAACCAUCCCAUCNNN
This 489-nucleotide long non-coding RNA is filed under the name Oryza brachyantha (malo sina). RNAcentral describes it as "long non-coding RNA (OBRA_LNC000662)". Lineage: Eukaryota; Viridiplantae; Streptophyta; Magnoliopsida; Poales; Poaceae. The record is from RNAcentral.